This 986-nucleotide long non-coding RNA is filed under the name Lepisosteus oculatus (spotted gar). Its description in RNAcentral is "lncRNA (ENSLOCG00000022159.1)". Lineage: Eukaryota; Metazoa; Chordata; Actinopteri; Semionotiformes; Lepisosteidae. The record is from RNAcentral.
UUUCAGCAGAACUCUCCUCUUCCGUAUACGGGCAGUAUACGGGUCACCUGACACGGCAAGAACCAAGGGACAAACCUCCUCCACACUGAGUACGGCCUGGAAAGGCGAAGCUUAAAAAUACAGGAACAGAACCCCGAAUCGCAGCGAGUCAGCGGAGCAAGUUUGAAUGACCCUGUCAGCUGACCACGGCCCACCGUGACCGCGGUCGACCCCGAGCAGUAGGGCUCCCCACCGAGUCGAGGGGAUUGAACGCCGGGAAGAUGGAGAGGUGGAAGACUCACGUCCGCUCGGAGCUUCUGAAGCGAGAUUCUCUCCAGAGGGACCCGUACGAGCGCUGGUUCAGUUCGUAUUCCCGUCUGCUGGAGAGACUGGACCUGCGGGAGACCUUGUGGGAGGAAGCCAAGCAAUUCAGCCCAGACGCCAGCGGGUGGGUGCAGUCUCUGGAGGAUCCGGUCCGCGUGCAGCUGGAGCUGAGAGAGAGCCGGCUCGCUCGCCAGCAGCAAUCUGAGACAAUGUCAGAGCUCACUGCCCGCCUGGGUCUGAUGGAGGCGGAGUUGCAGUACUGUCACUCACAAGUGAGCCGUUACCGCACGGAGGCUGUCUCCCUGUCCCGCCUGGCCACCACGCUGCAGGCCAGCCUGCUGGAGUGCGAGCUACAGCUGGAGCAGCAGGCGGAGGAGCUGGCGGGCCUGCGGCAGAGCCGGGCGGAGCUGGAGGCGGGGCUGGGCCAGGCGGAGAGGGAGAGGGAGGAGCUGCUGCAGCGCUGGCUGGUGGAGAAGCGGGAGCAGGCAGAGAGGGUGAACCUGCACAAUGAUGCCCAGGAGAGGUGGCUCCGCCUAACAAACAGGCUGAAGAAGCUUCUCCGACACCGGACACCCCGCCUGUCCCUGCUGGCAGCCAGCUGUACGAGGGACAUGGAGCUCCGGGUUCGAGCCCUUGGCGGGACAGAAGGGGAGACUGAGGGAGGAGACCCUGUUGUUCCGUAG